AUGGAUGGACUUCCCAAAGAACUGCUCGCCGACGUCAUCCGCGCCUCCAGCCACGGAGCCUCGCCGUGUGCCGGAGCGUCUGCCAAGGGCUGGCGCGCCGUGGCCGACGCCGGCGGGAUGCCGCUCACGGUCGCGCACCUCAUGCCACGCCGCCUGAGGGGCAUCUACAUCAACUACGUCGGGCAGAACCGCCCCUACUUCUUCUCCCGCGAGCCGACGAGCCCCAGCAUAGACGCCGCCCUCAAAUCCAUGCCGCCCCAACACGGGGGCUGGAAAACCGUCCUGGAUCACCGCAACGGCCUCAUCCUCUAUGGCAGCGGCACUGCCAGAACGCCCUCAUCCGCAAUUACGACAAUGCGUGUGUGCAACCCUGCAACGCGGCGGUGGACAACGCUGCCCCCGCGGCCCACUGGUCGCAUUGUGUUGCCGUACCUCGUCUUCGACCCAACCACGUCGCUGCACUAUGAUGUGCUAUGCUUCCCCGAGGAGCCCGAUCAUGCCUCGUGGCCGUCUUCGGGAGCAAAUCAUAACACGGAUGAAAUUAAUGAUCUGGGCUCCGUGGAAUGGCCACCGUCCUCGUACGCGGUGCAAGGGUUCUCGUCCAGAACCGGCCGGUGGGAGGAGCGGCGUUUUGUCCGGGAAGGCGAUACGACUGUUACCCUGUCGGACAUUUGGUCAGAUCCAUGGCACCCAAGAAGCGGAAGGCUAACGUAUUCGUAUAGCUCUCCACGGUGCCACGGCGUGUAUUGGCGAGAGAAAUUCUACCUUCAUUGCCGCGGUGGCUUCGUCAUCAGGUUGUCAUUGCAAGAACAGAAGUAUCUACUUAUCAAAACCCCGAAAUCAGAUACUUUUGUCAGGGGUCCGUUGUCACCAGAUACUGAGGGUAUUAUACCAUCUGUCUACCUUGGGAAAUCAAAGCAAGGUUUCUAUUACACCGCUCUCUAUAGACACCAAAUCCGAGUGUGGGUACUUCAUGAAGCAUCAGAGUCACGUCGAACGCUGGAGUGGACACUAAGGCAUGAGGCUGUCCUCAAACCCUCAAUUGCGCGACACUACUCCCGAGUUUAUAGACAAGAAGAGAUUGCGGAGUCAUGGAACUUAGACCGUGCUGGUCAUAUUUGGGCGCAAACAAGCAUAAAAGACCAUGACUGGGACUCUAAUAACGAUAGUGACAUCCACGAUAGAGGAGAAGAAGGGGCGUCUAUACCAAAGGCCGAGAAGAGUCGCAUAGAUUUCAAAAUGAGCCUGGGAUUUGACUUGUUGGGAUUCCAUCCUUAUAAAGAGAUUGCUUUCUUGGGGCAAGAUUUUGAUGGGUUUGCUUACUUUGUUUCUAGGAUGAAAAUCUACAUCCAGGCGUUGGACAACCCUCUCUAUGUUGAGAGCUCAGAUACUAUCAACAGUGUUAAGGCAAAGAUUGAUGAUGAGUACGCGACGGCAGCGACGGCGGAGCACGAGCAGGUGAGGGGCGGCGCCUUCGUCGGACGGCUAGCCACGGCGGAGGAGAAGGCGGACGCCAUCGGUGCGGCUACAGACGAGGCGGAGGAGAAGGCGGACGCCGUGGGCUUGCUGCACGGCUACAGCCGAGGCGGAGGAGAAGGCGGACGUCGUGGGCGUUCAUGGAGGAUGGUACGCCGGCGCCGGCCGCCAGUCCUCGCUGGCCUCCUCCGUGGUAUCCUUCUCAACCUCCGCUGCUCCUAUCGUUAUUUGGAUGGAAAAUUGGAGGCCGGCCGUGUCCUUCUCCAACACAAAUUGAUGUAG
Molecule: ribosomal RNA, 1758 nt
Filed under: Triticum aestivum (bread wheat)
Lineage: Eukaryota; Viridiplantae; Streptophyta; Magnoliopsida; Poales; Poaceae
Description: partial small subunit ribosomal RNA
Source: RNAcentral